ACCUUUUCUUCCGCCCACUCCACUCUCCCAUCGUGCGUCGAGUGGAUCAGGAAGCGGCGUUCCUUGCAAUUAUCCGAUUCAACAAAGAUAUCUCCGGCGCCUCGAUCCCCCUCCUAGACUCUGUCUGGUCGUUGCCGCCGGCGUGGUCAAGGGCCGCGAAAAGGCCCUCGAGGUUGGCUAUGGUAGCGGUGGCACGAAGGGGGGAGGAAGAGGAGGAAGGGGAUA
This 225-nucleotide long non-coding RNA is filed under the name Elaeis guineensis (African oil palm). RNAcentral describes it as "long non-coding RNA (EGUI_LNC011876)". Lineage: Eukaryota; Viridiplantae; Streptophyta; Magnoliopsida; Arecales; Arecaceae. The record is from RNAcentral.